This is an RNA transcript of Dendroctonus ponderosae (mountain pine beetle), 1657 nucleotides long. It is a transcript of the gene named mitochondrial inner membrane protease ATP23 homolog, with no coding region annotated. Lineage: Eukaryota; Metazoa; Arthropoda; Insecta; Coleoptera; Curculionidae. The record is from RefSeq and is a predicted model, not a curated record. The transcript has 3 exons.
UGAUAUGUGGAACUGUCAUUACAUGAGAGUCCCCAAGCCCUGGCUCUAACCUCGAAUUUUACAUAACAAUCGCCGGGCGAAAAACAUUGUUUUACCAUCACAGUGUAAUAGUUAAUCAUUGGAAAUGACUUUCAUUAAUUCAGACGAAAAGCCACCAGCUGAUAGUGAAGGAAAACCGUCCACGUCCAGUUCGCACGGUUCAAGUGAGUGGGGUUACGACCUGUACCCGGAACGUCGGGGGGCGAAGCCCCAAGCAUCCUUCACCGAUGUGUUGCUGGGCAGAAAGGGCCGGGAGAGUUACCGGAAAAUCGACUGCGAAAGGAGCGUGUACAGGUGCAUUAAAACGAGCCCGCUUGUCCGACUGAUGGUGGGCGCUUUGAAGUCUGCAGGCUGCGCCAUAGAUAUCCGGCGGCAUAUCAGCUGUGAGGAGUGCGCCCCCGAAGUGAGCGGCGGUUACGACCCGAUCCUAAACCAGGUUGUGAUAUGCCACAAUAACACCUACAGAGAGGGAAUGGUCCAGGGAGUGCUGACCCACGAGUUUAUUCACAUGUUCGACUAUUGCCAGAACAAUUUGGACUUUAAAAACCUCGACCAUUUGGCCUGUACUGAAAUCAGAGCGGCCAAUUUGGCGCAUUGCAGUUUCGUGUCCGCUUGGUUGAAUGGGGACACGUCGGUGUUCCGGUUUAAGCAAACGCAUCAGGAUUGUGUGAAAAGUAAGGCUUUGAGCUCGAUUAUGGCAGCGAGGAAUAUCACGACAGAUCAGGCAGUUGAUGCGAUUGAACGCGUCUUCACCAAGUGCUACAAUGACUUGGAACCGAUUGGGCGAAGGAUCAGGAGGAACAGUUUGGAUAUGCACAGGGCGUUUGAGGAGGGAUUUUACUUUGGGUACGACGAUCAAAUGAAGUAGCAAAACGACCAGUUGAGUGAUCAAUGAGAGUGCGAAAUCAUUAGAGUUCUAGUCGUAAAAAGGCAAAUUCCCCGAGUUUCCCGCAGUCCUUCCUUAAGUCCUCGCGUUGUCCAUCCAGCCAUUGACGUCGGUUUGGUGAAUGAGCCGUGGUUCUGAGCGGCAGAAAAGUGAUUGUUUCCAGCAAACGCCACCAAAGAAACCGGUUCGUAAAAGGUGAACAUAUUUUUAAGAUAUUACGUCGUUAAUGCGGGCCUAGAGAACUUGUUUCGACGCUGCCAGCAGAGGAAAUCAGUCAUUAAGCAUCAUCUGGCUCGAGGGUGAAUUUUCCUUUUAGGCCACUUUUGCACAACAAAUUCCAGACCAGUUUCUUAGUUAGAAUGCACUUGAAUCUCGGGUGCGUUUAACUUGCACUAGAUCCUGAUUUUGCGAUUGAUUGAUUGAUUGCCUACUGCCCAAACGCGUCUAAAGACGAACCUUUUCCAUGCUAUUGCGCUCCUUGAGUCACUAUUUCUACCGAUUUCGUGGUCUUUUAGCAUCAAAACGGUGGCACUGCCAAGUCAUUCUGAGGUGGGGACCCCAAAAGCGCGCUCAUUAAAAAAGGUUAAGCUUGAAAGGUUUACAGAAAGUCCCAAAAAUCUUAGUGCGAUCCUCAUAUUUUUUCUGCUGAGUCUAAAAAGGAACGUUCGCAGCCAAAAGCGCGCUCUCCUGGGUCCAUACAACGCGAAUAAAACACUGCGUUCUCCUUUGACC